GGGUUGUGAGGUUAAGCGACUAAGCGUACACGGUGGAUGCCCUGGCAGUCAGAGGCGAUGAAGGGCGUGCUAAUCUGCGAUAAGCGCCGGUAAGGUGAUAUGAACCGUUAUAACCGGCGAUACCCGAAUG
Molecule: ribosomal RNA, 130 nt
Filed under: Salmonella enterica subsp. enterica serovar Muenchen
Lineage: Bacteria; Pseudomonadati; Pseudomonadota; Gammaproteobacteria; Enterobacterales; Enterobacteriaceae
Also listed under: 5 other names
Description: partial 23S ribosomal RNA
Rfam family: Bacterial large subunit ribosomal RNA
Source: RNAcentral